Long non-coding RNA from Grus americana (Whooping crane), 4712 nucleotides. RefSeq lists it as uncharacterized. The record is from RefSeq and is a predicted model, not a curated record. The transcript has 8 exons. NCBI's taxonomy places the organism in Eukaryota, Metazoa, Chordata, Aves, Gruiformes, Gruidae.
CCUCUCCACGGCUCCCGCUCCCCUUCGGUCUCCAUCUUCUGCCCCACCUUGUCGUAUGGUGGGAGGACUCGCAGAAGCUCCAGAUCCUCAGUCACAGAGAGAGGAAAAAAAAAAAAAAAAAAAAAGAAAAUCGUAAAACAAAGUGGAAGAGAGAAGGUUUAUGCAGGAAGCGGAGGCUCGUCGCGGGCUGGGGAUGCUCUUGGCUGCCCUGGCCCGGCGCCAGUGGGACAGGACUCCAUUUUUCUGAACGUGCCGUGACUUUUGAGGACCACGCAUGGUUAACCAGCCCCAGGGCUCCCGAGUCCCUGAAUCAGCACGUCCGCCUGCAGACGCCGAGCCGAGGGGGAGCGCUCCCCCCGGCCGUGACACGGCCAUGGCGGGGAGAAGUGCCCUUCUGCUCUGCCCUGGCUUUCAUCUGCAAAGCGUGUAGCUGCAAGUGCCGCGUGUUUACAAAUGCAGGCAUUGCAAGAUCCCUUGAACUGUGUCCUAGUACAAAAGAGGCUUUGAAACAAGAAACACGUUGUCAUGGCAUGUUCCAGGCCAGCAGCACCAGACUGAACCAGAUAAUUGCUGUUUCUGCUUUAGCUGCUUCAUCGUGGAAAAAGCAGCAGGUCUUGAGCAAGUCUUUCUUCCCUUUAGACAUUUGGUGUGAUGCUCGGGAUGGAAGGAGAGGGCUGGGAAUGCCCGGGCAGACGGGGGCAGAGGCGGGAUGAGCCCAGCCAGCGCUGCGUACCGCUGCCGAGCUCCGCAGGGCUGGAGGCAAAAUUACUCUGCCUGGCUCCAGUCACGUAACCACGGCCAGCGGAGCCGGUGACGCUGACCCUCGCUGUGCGACACGGGGUAUUCACGUUUCGUAACCCUGACAUGCUGCCAGAGCCAGGAGACGCGGCUCUCGCAGCACCCCCCAGCUCCGCGCUCCCGACCUUUCCCAUCGCCCUUCUCCAGGCACUUCAUGGCACUCGAGAAAUAUCCAAAUACCUCUCAGUGGCAGCCGGCCAGGUGUGUUUUUGCUCCGGGCAUGUCACUCCGUGGAGUCAGUUAUUGCCAUUACAGCCGGCGCCUUUGGAAACAGCAAAACAGUAAAGCUGUGGCUGGGAAGGGCUUCUCACUGCGUACGCCUCGUUAAAAACUGCAAAACUGGGCAAGGCUGAGUAACGCCACAGAGCUGAGGGAAAACAGAGGAGUUCGGGGCUGGAUUGCAAGAAGCAACGCCAAGGAAUGCCCCAAAAUAACAAGGUGGAUCCGCCAUCUCCUCUCGUACACGCUGCUGCCCUCAGGAAAACGGGACCUGGACAAGGGUAUGCACGGAGUUCAUAUUUGCACUUUUGCCUGAGGACGUAUGCAACACGAAUGUGGAGCUGAGCAGCUUAUGGAAGAUUUAACUCAUUUCUAUUCUUGACGGCGAAUUAUUAAUAAGGUUAUGCCCGUGUUCAGGGCCUUUCCCCGCGCUCCCCUCCUGCUGCACGGGGGGUUUGGAAACCUGCUGGCAGAGUUUUACUUCAGCUAUCGAUUGAUGCGCAGCGGGGGUAAUAUUUCAUCCCGAAUGGAAGCAGUCGCUGAUGAUUAUCACAUGGUAUUAGCACGUGUCGUUGUGAAAUCGGUGUGAAUUGAGACGAAAUGUGACCUAUGGGCACAGGCAACCGCAUUCUGAUGUAUUCUGGCUGCGUUGCGCUGCACGGGUAACGCCGGGGCUUGACGAGCCGUGGCUGUUGCUGGUACCGUGCUGAUUAAAAGCCCCAGCUCGCUCCUGCUCCCAUUGAAAUCAGUGGGAGGUCCGUCACUGCCUGCAGUGAGCGCUGGGCCGGAUCCAGAUUUCACUUCAUAGUAUGCUUUAUUCCCUAGGAUUAAAGAGGCGCGGGGAGUGGGAUUCCUCUCCCUCGUUGAUCUCUGCCGCUUCCAUGUUUGCCUUGGAGCUGGUCGGGACACGAGGUGCCCGACCUGGUUUCGGUGACUACCCAGGGAGGAGACGAGCGGUGUUUUCUCCACGGCGGCUGCAACAGCCGUACGAGCAGCAACCGCAGCAGUGCCGACGUAUCACGCUCCCGAAGCAAUUCAAAUGGAAACUUCCCAGAAUGACUGUUGCAGAGCUUUCCCCUUGAAUCACCUCGCCUCCGAAGCGCCGCUUUCUAAGACGAUGCCCUCGGGAAAGCCGUCACUGGCCUCCGCUGCGGCGCGGUGGGUCUGUCCCUGCAGCACAGCUGGUCUCCGUCUCUUCUCGGGCCCGUUUCUCUCAGAGCAGCUCUGCUCGCUUUGGCUGGAUGGCAGUGUCUGAUGAGCAAAAGCAGGUCCAGGGGUGCAGGAGCCCCAGGAGCCCCAGGCUGGGGCUCAGCUCAAGGGGCUGAGCCCAGCUUUUGGUCUGCAGAACCAGCCGGGGCUUGCCCCAGGAGGGACAGCAGACCGGCAAGACCGAGAUCUCCGCGCAGAUCCUGGAGCCGCUCGGAAGAUGAGUCAAAGGAUUCCUGAAGCGAUCACAGCUGCGAGGUGCAGCAGCACCAACACAUCCACCGGCAGCAGCACCGCCAGGCUCCCUUGGCCAGAUGCUUGCGCUUUACAUUUAGUAAGACACAUUAGGCAAUUUCCCCUUAAAAAUGUUUAUGGGAAUAUACAAAUAUUCACUUAUUCAGAACUUGCCUGGCCCUUCGCGUGCAGCGUGGUGGCGAAAGUAACUUGAAUUGGUAUAAAUCUAUCAAGAAAGCUUGAGAUGGGGCAUGACGCAUGGCGAGGAGAUGGAUGUCCUGGAGCCCUGGUGGGGACUGAGUCCUCCAGGCGCCGGGAUGGAGACCUCGCUCAGUGGGAUGCAGCACCCUGCUGAGCAGGACAGGGCCACCACGGGACCUGCGCCACGUCCCUCAGCACCCAGCUGCAGGCAGCGUGGGCAGAGUUUUCCCUCCUGUGAUUUCCCGAUGGCCACAGGAAGAGCAUGCACAGACCCGAUCUGGAUUAAAUCAAAGGAAUUUUUUUUUCAUUUGCUGUCUUACGCACUGACCACCAAACCACAUCCUUCGAGCCUGAGCCCAGUGCAGUGAAACAAAAACUAGGCCAGGACUUUUUGCUCAUUUAUUUUUUCCCCUUUCCCUCAGCGCAUCAGUUGGGUGCAAAGCUGGCACACACCUCUCCUCCAGCCCCUCCGCUCCCCACGGAGCUGGGUGCAGCCCCGCAGGAUGGCCCCCUCCCGGUGCAGCCCGGUGUUCCCCCCACCCCGAUUACCCUGAGCGAACCACUUGCAGCUCCACGUGAAACCUGGGAACUAUCCAGAUUAUGUCCACUGAGCACAGCGUCAGUGGGGAGCAAAUACAGAGGACCACAACACAUUCUGCCAAAGAUGCGUGCUUGGAUGUGAGACCUCCAAGCUGGGAUGCGUUGUUUGCAGUUAUGAAGCUGUUUCGGCUUUGCCAUGCCCCGUACCGCACGUUGAGAUGCCGGAGGUGCCUGCCUGCCUGCAACAGCGAUGACUGAGGGGAGGCCCGAAGGGUAGGCACUGCGUUGGUUUAUUGCCAAAUGGAGUCAGAGCUUUCUGAUGUGACACUGAGCAAAUCAUUACACCGCUCCUGCACUUCGUUUCCUCAUUAUUAAAAGAGGAUAAAACCCAACCAAUUAUUGGGAUAUGCACAAAUAUGCCAUUGAUGAGGGCCCUGAGCAACCGGGCAGAUUUUCUGAGGAGCCUUGAAGCAGCAAGGCACAGAAGCCACAUGCUGGGCUCUCCCUUAUUUUUAUUCUUUUUUGUUUUCUUGGUUGUAGAAUAAGAGCUAAUCAAAGUGAUGCUCUCCAGCAGGCUUUUGUGUAUGGCAUUACAGCAAAAUCCUAAAUUCCCUUUCCUGCUCAUGCAUACAAAGCAGGAAGAACCAGGAUGGCUGCAGACUAUUUCUAUUUUCAGAUGAUUUAGCCAAGGAGAAAAUAACUGGAUGGCUGGAAGAAGGAGCAUUCGCUAGGAAAUAACCUUGGAGCGCAGCUCUCGGACACGAUGGCGUGUGAGGUGCUCAGCUUCCUGAGACAACCAUGCUCCGCAAAAUGCCAAUGGGGAACGUAACUUCCAGAGGAGACGACAAAGGACAAUACAGACAACCGGAGCACGCAGAAUCCCAUGCAAGAGAGACUGCAGAGCAGGCUGGGUGCUCCCUUCUGCUCCUCUGCUCCUGAUCAAGAAACCGUUUCAGCAUCGACAUACGUAAAGUUCCUCCUGUUCAGUUUAGGACCCCUACUAGGUGCUGGGGCAACAAGUCAAGUAUUUGGCUGGUGUAAGCCAGUGCAGCUCAGCUGACUUGGUUCACGUGAGGAUGUUUGCGUAGGUGUGUUGCUUCUUCCCCCACUGAAGGCAAAGACGUCGCCUGGGACUUGCCCCUCACACCUGGAGCAAGCCGGACGCUCCCUCACCGCAAGGCAGGAGUGGGGGCAGCUUCUCCACGCUGAUGCUGUAGGACCACAGCGGGGAGCGAUACCUGAGCAAAAUCUCACACCUCCUCGCGCAUCGCUUCAUGCUAUCUGGUCUGCAGCGUGCAAGGGAAACUGCAGCUCCCAGCGCCUGGGAUCUGUGCCUGACUGCUGCCUGCCACCUUCGGGCACAUCGCCUCUCCCGUCUCUGCCUCAGCUUCCCCGACUGCAUGACGCUUUAUGAAGGACUUUGAAUUUCACCGAUUAAAAAGCAUUAAAUGAGACCGGCUUGUCCUGCGGGCUUGAUGUAGAUUAUACAGCCACUGUGGCUGGGAAUAAACAUC